AAGAAAUUAUUUUUCACAGUGAAGUUGUUUUCAGUAUUUUAACAGACAGACAUAUCCAAUUAUAGUCAUUGAAAAAGUUGCUUGAAGCUGAAUUGUAAGCACUUCAUUUCGCUUAAGUUAUUUUUUUGGUUUGUUUACCUCUAAAAUAUUUGCUUAUCCUGCUCCCCUUUCCACCAAGUACACAGGGUCAAUAUUGUCUUGAAUAUACAAUGUAUUGUGGCAUGAAUCUACUCAGCAACAUUUCAUACUAUCUCCCCACUGAAUGAUAACAGAAAUGUUAUUCAAUCAAUCCUGGGCCAAAAGGGUCUCUUUAGUAUAGUUUUGUUUUGGAUGUGCAUUUCUUCAGAGGCAUGGAUUGGAACAGUGUGGCCAUUCGCCCAUCUUCUGAAGUGUUGUGAUUGGACAGUACAGUGACAAAUGAGGUAAACCUCCUUCCCCUUUUCAGUAUUUUCCUUCUAUCUUUUGCUCAGUGCAAUUUUACCAGGGUAAAUUGAAUUUUGUUUGGCUCAUUCCCCCAUAAAAUUACACCAGCAACAACCACCCUAGAGCAGACUAUUCUCAUAGCGAACCCCUUGCUGUAAUUGUUGGACGCUCCAUCUAAAUUCAGUUUUGUGUCAUUGUGUGUGUUUAUGCUCUUUAGACCAUAUCUGUCACUAUGAGUAUUUGUUUACUUUUUGUUUACCCAAAUGACUUUUUCACAAGAUGUUUUGAGAGACAUUAAAACUUGGUUUUGCAACCAUCUAAUUACUCCAUCAGAGUGAGCAUGUCACAUGAAUAAUGCAAUAAUAAGACAACUGUUUACAUGACUCUGUGAUGUUGCAGAAUGUGUUUAUCUCCUGUUUUUCUUUCUUUAUUUUAAGGCAAGGCAUUUUUCCCAUGAAAACAACUAAUUUUCUUUGGUCUAUUAUCAUACUGCAGUUCAUAUAUGUGUAGUAGUUCAUAGGAUCGUAAAAAUAACCUGUACUUUGCAUGAUUUUUACAGUUGUCUUUUCACCCAAGAUACAAAAUUUACAUUACAUUAAGAAGUGCUUUGCACAGACUUAUGUCAAAAGUUAACUUUCCCAUAGUUAUCAAGAAGCCAUUACUACCACUAUUUCUCAGGCUAGAAAUGUGUUACAUUGCUGUAUACAUUCCUUUUCAUCCCAGGUCAGAAUUGUUUCCUUGUCUGUGUUUUAUUCAGUUUACUGGAAGUGAAUACCUCUUGCCCAAUUGUAUUUGUGAAUGGUCUUUUGGAUGCAUUUCAGACUUCUAUGGCUAUUUAAUGUCACGGUAUGUUUUCAAUAGUUUUGUAAUGCUUUCUUGUGAGCAAAGCACAGGUCCUUUUUUUAAACAGCCAGCUAAACUUUAGGGCUGGGUGUGUUAUAAAAUGUUACAAAUGAAAAUAUUGGAAGGUUUUGUCUUCCUAAUAAAACAACUGACUAAAUCAUUGUUCAUGCAUGAGCUAAGAAAGAAUGCCGCAGUUUUAGUACGCCUGUCGGUUUUAGGCUUUAUGACUUGUUUUCAAGUGUCUUCUCUGAACUUGACUGGCAUUGUACUGUACUUGAUUUGUAAUUUAACUGUACUAAUACUACAUUGCAACAACGGACAUCUUACGUAUUGUGCUGCAUAGGUGAAGAGAAUGUGUUAUGAUGUAUGUUGUAUUUCUCCCACACUGUUUGUCACAUGGUACUGUAACUAUAUUGUAAAAUGACAUAUAUUUUUUUACAUUUAUCAUUAGAACUGUUUGCCUUGUAUAUUGUACCUAAAUAUACAUUGACUCAAGUGAUGAGUUGAUAAAAAUGAAUGCCAUUUCAUCAUUGAAAAUCCAGAGAUUGUAAGGAAAACACUUUUGGGAAAAACAAAAUUCUUUUUUGUAGAGGUCUAAAUAAAUUUGCAUGCAGAAGAACACAUCUCACCUGCAGUAAUCUGGCUGGACGCACAGUAUAAGCCAGCUUGGAUACACUUGAAUAUUCUCUGCCUUAUACGUUCAUUGGCCUGCUCUUGUGUCUAUGCAGGUGAAUACAAGUUCAAACAAGCCACACUAUUCAGAAAUGCCUCACUGCUGUGGAAAUAAACAUUAGCUUGUGUGAUAAAGUGUAUAAAGGAAUGUUAGAGUCUUGAAAUGAUCACAGAUGUCAGUGGAUUCUAUCAAACCAUGGCCCAAAGCAGUAGCUGCCUCAUGCAUUAUUUAUUUGUUUAUUCAUAUGCUUUGUGUCAUGUUAAUACAUUCAUAAUGAAUUUACAAUGCUUAGGCUACAUUUUGGCUGGGUUUUCUUUUUCUACUCCACAGUAUAUUACUUCAGCUUAAAGUAUUGUGUAGAAAUACAUGAUUUUCUCUUAAAUGAUUCUGGUUGUUGCACAAGUUAAAAAAGAAGGGUAAACAAGCAAAUAUAACUUAUACACAUUGCCACCGUAUAACAAAUAUUUCCUUGAGACUGUGCAAUUGCUGUAUUCUCCCUCCAACUAAGUAUUGAUGUGUUGCUCUUAUGAUUAGUGUCAAGGAUUUUGCAACACAAUUGCUGAUAAAUUUCGGAUUGCGGAUGGAUGCGACUGUAACUAGUGGAUUGCAGAAAUUGGGCUAAGGGUCUG
Molecule: long non-coding RNA, 2568 nt
Organism: Cyprinus carpio carpio
Lineage: Eukaryota; Metazoa; Chordata; Actinopteri; Cypriniformes; Cyprinidae
Source: Ensembl